Molecule: long non-coding RNA, 6417 nt
Filed under: Nicotiana benthamiana
Lineage: Eukaryota; Viridiplantae; Streptophyta; Magnoliopsida; Solanales; Solanaceae
Description: long non-coding RNA (NBEN_LNC003209)
Source: RNAcentral
UCCAAACAGGGUCUACCCAAAAUCCCAAUACUCUAACUCAUUUCCCCACCUAAAAUUCCUAACCCGAUACAAUACCCAAAAAAGAACCAAAAUUGGCGCAAAAAAGAGCUGCGCAAUUGAGAGGGACCUUACCUUCGGUCUUUGUCUUCUUCAACAAAAUCGGUCUGCCAAUAAAAGCUGCGCUGACAGCCAUCGACACACAGAACUCCGAAACACGCACGCACAUAGUUCUGGUUGAGAAAGAUGGAGAUGGCUCGAGGUUUUCGAGUUUGAGUCGUCUGAUUACUGCUGGAGGUUGAAGUCUCAGUUCUUGGCGUUUUAACACUUGCUCGAUUUCUGUAUCGUGUAUUACUCAAUAUUUUAUCAAUCGUAAGUUCGAUUCAAUUUUCUUAGUUAUGAAUUUAAAAUUUUCAUAAUUUCCAACAUCGGUCGAAAAUUAUGAAUUUAUAUUUAUUUCUUUAGUAAAUUAAUAAUGAAUCGUAAGUUCGAUUUUCAGUUUUCAUAGUUGCUGAAGUUCUAUUAAUUGAAAAGUAAUUUUCGUUCAUUUUGUUGCUGGGUUCUGUUGAUUUGAAUCUAUUGUAGAGUUCGGUUGUGAGACCUGUUCGGGACUGGGUAUUGAAGUGUCGAGGUCGUCGAGUGAGCCAUGUUGGUGUAGCCUGGUUCAAUUGUGGUUCCUCUAUGCCGAGUUACAGAUACGUGCCAAUCUCCUAACCGAAACUGUCUAUAUGUCCUCUGCUUAAUGAGAGCUGUAAGUUAGUGCUGUUAAUUAUGUUGCGUAAUCUGUGAGUUUUACGUGAAGUAAAUUGCGAGGAAAUUAUGUACUGAUAGAAUCUUUGUUUGAUAAUCAUUGAUCAGCUUCAUCUGCUUGUUGAGCAUCAUUCUUAUUUAUCCAAUAAAUGUGAAUGUGAUGACUGAGAACUUGCAAUUUAAUAUUAUGAAUUUCCCAAUGUACCAUGAAGAAAUAAUUAACUCCUUAAAUUGUUUAUGGCGCUAUCCUACAAGUUCCUUAAGAUUGUAUUCCAUUAGUUAAUAGUUUGAGAUUGUUUUCCAUUUGUUUUUUCCAUAAUUCAUUUCAAGAUAAUGAAAAACAAAGACUGCAAAGGCUUCAGUUCAUUCUGGAGGUUCGUGGGAUCAAUUCAUGAAUAUAUUCUCUUGAAUAUCGUAAGCACUUCACUUCUACCAAACUCUAUCAGAUAACAAAUCCUAGAGGAGUAAACUCAUUUUGUAUCCUUGAAAUAGUUAAAAUCCAAGUUAGCAUCUGAUUGUAAAGCGAUCUUGAGAACUCAUACACUUCACCAACAACCAUAAUGUGAUAGGUUAUUUUGUUAGCCCGAAGUAGUGAAGUGCAUAAGAGACUUAAAGAUCCUUAUAUAUAUUUUAGGCUGAUGACAAAUGAGUCUACUUUUUCAUUUCCUUCAAGACUGCAAAGCAUUUCAUAUUUAAAGCAAGCGCCAAAGACAUGCGUCUAUAAAUAGUGUAGUUAGGGGAAAAAAGACAGAUGAUUGAAAAAUGGAAGAGAGCAGGGACCUGGUUUCUAAGAGGGCUGCAACUGGAUAGAGCUGGCAUUCCCGUAAGAAUGAUAUUUAAAAAGUGUGUUCAGCUCUCUUGUAUCUUUAUUGUAAACAGUUUAGGCUAUCUAAUUUUUUCGUGAUUGUUAUUCUUCGCCUGUCAUAACUAAUCUUUGAGCUCUCUGCACACUUAAAAUCUAAGUUUCAAGUGCUUGUUUUGAUAAAAAUCUAUAAGUUUGGUUGAGUAAGUAUUUCUUUCUGGUGUCUAACCCCCAAUGCUGAAUUUUGGAAUGAGGUAUGUCUUGAACUAAAAUCUUUUACACUAUAUUGUCUAAUAUGUUGCAAUUUUCAGCCAGCUGCAUACCAUAAGGCCAACGUACAAUUGAAGUGUAGAAGAGUAUAAUUUUUAAUCAGUAAGGAAACUUGCCUAGCUGCUCAGAGAACACGAGCAUAUUUCUGUUAUCAUUCAGAUUCUCUGCAUAGCCAUUUGAGUAAUCGGUAUUGUAUCCAGCUUUCUACUGGUCUGCCUGUUAAUUUCUUAUCGACAAUGUUGAAACAAGGGCUCCUGCUUCUCACGUGAAAGAUUGAUUGAGAACUGAAAGAGGUGAGAAUAUCUUGUGCACUUCUCUAUCUGGAUAGUUAUGUUCCUACAGACAUAAGCCCUAUUGAAACCAGACACAAGUCUGACUGUUAAUCGUUUAACUUAAAUAGUACCUAUGAAACCAAAGAGAGAAUACAUGUGACUUUAUAUCACAUAAAAUAGGUGUGUAAUUUUCUAUUAUAGAAACAGGAAGUGGACUGACCUGUACAUUAAUGUCACCUAAUCCAUUAUUUUUUUUCCAAUUAUAUGUACUAGAUAUAUUAAUGCCCUUGUGUUAAUAGUUUGUUGCUGCAAUUAUUUGUCAACACUAUGGUCAUUUUCUUUUGUCAACAUUGCUGCUGCAAUCACAAUUAACUAUGACUAAUAUAAUUUAUUUGUUCUUUAUGUAGAUGGAAUCUUGUAGUUGGAUGUAUAUUAGGAAUUAUCCUAAUUGUCGGUUUUUGAAGGAGGAAUUUAUUGCGCAUGCAAUGUCACUUGAACCGUUUUGAAUUGGAAGGUUGAUUAGGUGUCCUUGUGUAAAGUGAAGUGUUUGCAUUAAAUAGAAGGGGUUGAGGAAUUUAUUACGCAUGCGAUGUCACUUGAACCGUUUUGAAUUGGACGGUUGAUUAGGUGUCCUUGUGUAAAGUGCAAGUGUUUGCAUUAUUUUGAACUGACUGAUGUUAAGAUUCCUCUUUAUCAAAAAGGGUUAACGGAUAAUUAUUUUGUGUGGACUAUUCAUAGAGUGAUUGAUGGUGGCGUUGGUGUAUUUCAUAAUGUAGUUGUUGGUGAAAGUAGUAGGUCAAUGGGGAAUACCAUUGGACAUCCGAGAUACCAUGAAAUAGUUGCGGAUGCCCUUGGGAUGCACUUCGAAUUUGAAACCAACGAAAGUGUUGAACAACCUCCUAAUGAAGAAGCAAAAUAUUUUUAUGAACAGUUAGAAGCUGCUAGUCAUCCACUAAAACAAGGGAGUAUGCACUCUCAGUUAUCUGUUGCGGUUAGAUUAUUAAGUAUCAAAUAAGAUACCAAUAUUUCUCAAGCAGGAAUGGAUUCUUUCAUUGGCUUUAUGAGUGAACUAGUUGACCCAACUUUCAACAUACCCAAAGAUUUCUAUAAGGCUAAAAGAUUGGUUUCUAUGUUAGGAUUCUCGUAUAUGAGAAUUGAUUGUUGUGAAGAUGAUUGCAUGUUUUAUUAUAAGGGUGAUGCGGAUUUAGAAAGCUGUAAAUUUUGUGAAAAACCUCGUUUUAAGCGGCUUUCCAGUGGGAAGAAGGCUACUGUGAAGUUGAUACAUUACUUACCACUUAUUCCUAGAUUAAAGAGGUUGUACGCAUCGAUGAGUUCUGCUCCUCAUAUGAGAUGACACUAUGAAAAUAGAAGGUCGCCCGGUGUUAUGUGUCAUCCUUCAGAUGGGGAAGCUUGGAAGAAUUUUUAUAGGACGUAUCCAGAUUGUGCUAUGGCACUAUGAAAAUAAAAGGCCUCCCAGUGUUAUGUGUCAUCCUUCAGAUGGGGAAGCUUGGAAGCAUUUUGAUAGGACGUAUCCUGAUUAUGCUACUGAGCGAGGAAUGUUCGAUUGGGUUUGUGUGCUGAUGGUUUCAUGCCAUUUUCAGUUUCUGCAACACCAUAUUCAUGUUGGCCGGUCUUUAUUACUCCGUAUAAUCUUCCGCCUGAAACGUGUAUGACUAGUCCAUAUAUAUUUUUAAAUUGUGUUAUUCCCGGUCCCCGCAAUCCAAAAAGUUUGAUUGAUGUAUAUUUGCAACCUUUGAUUGAUGAGAUUAAACAGUUGUGGUAUGAUGAAGUUGAGACAUAUGAUAUAUGAACUAAGCAAAAUUUCAACUUGCGUGCUAACUUAAUGUGGACCAUCAAUGAUUUUCCUGCGUAUGGAAUAUUGCCUGGGUGGAUGACUGCCGGAAAGUUAGCAUGUCCUUACUGCAUGAAAAAUGGUAAAGCGUUCACUUUAAGAAACGACCGAAAGCAGUCAUAGUUUGAUUGUUAUCGCCAGUUUUUUCCGGUUGAUCAUGAGUUCAGAAGGAUGAAGAACGCAUUCAAAAAGAAUACAGUUGAACAUGAUUUGCCACCUCCAAUUUACUCCGGUGAGGAAAUUUGGGUGAGGGUUCAGAACUUUACUAAUGUUACAUACUUUAUUUGCAGACUAAGUGUUCCUGGAAGGACCAGUAUAACCGUGAAAUUUAUAAAAAUUGGGAGUACAAAUUGCGUUAGAGACUCUCUGAUUCCUUUAGCUCCGCUCGAAAGCUUAAAAAUAAGCCUUCAUGGGUUCUACCGGAUGUAUGGGUGGAGAUGGAGAGGUAUUGUACCACCGACAAAUUCAAGAAGCAGAGUGAACAUGGCAAGAAGGCCCGAGCAUCUGAGAAGGGAGGCUCCUUGCACUGUCUUGGUUCAAGAGCUGGAGAGGCAUUGGACCACCGACAAACUCAAGAAGCAGAAUGAACAUGGCAAGAAGGCCUGAGCAUCUGAGAGGGCGGCUCCUUGCCUGUCUUGGUUCAAGAAGCAUGGGGGAUACAAGGAGACAUCUGGUAAUUCCUUAAAAUAUUUCGGUCUAUUUUUAUCGAAUUAUAUUUAUAUGUCUCCCAAUAUUAAAUAUUAUGAGUUCCUGAGACAUCUGCCCCUGAGAUUGUGAAUCUUAAAUUUGCAUUAUUUGGUACUAUAUAUCCUUCUACUUGACUCAUAAAUUAAGCAUCACUAUCAUCACCUUCUUUCUUCAUCAUCCCUAGCCUCAUGGGAAUCCCCUUCUUCAUCACCCAUGUUAUUUAUUACAUCAGUGAUUAUAGCCUUCACCUCUGCCUUUUAUGCAUCAAAUCUACACCGAAAUGGCUACCUGAAAUGAACCCCAAUUAUGUGAUCACCAAAUAAAAGAGCACAACAUUAGUGUUAGAAUAACAAAGUGUUUCCUUAGGCAUACCUAGUUUCCCGAUGAUAUCAGAUAAGGUUGCCUGCAUUUUGAAGAGGGCAACAAGUCUGAUUAGUAAGAAAAGUUCAUGACUAUUUAACGCAAGGGCAAGAUAUCACUUACAGAGUUAAAUUCCACUUCUUUCAGAAUAUGUACUGUUGCUGCAUGAAUUUCUUCGUUGCUGGGGUAUGUUUUGGCCUUCUUGACACUUUUUCCUUUUCCUAUUCCAUAAGAUUUUGAAACAGUCAAAAACAUAUACAUGUUCCUACUCAGAAUUGUUGCUUUUCCUGUUCAUAAUUGUUCUGUGAUAAUUUACUUUUACAUUUACUCCUGAAUCCUAAACAUUAUAGGAAUACAUAAGAUCUUGGAUGAUUUCCGGCAUAAUAAAAGUUCAAUAGAAUGGCAUAUCACAGGUGGUUGAGUGAAGAUACUGAAGGGGCAGUGCAUAUUGUAUGACGAAAUACCAUUCCUCAAACCAAUAUAUCAAAAAUGAACUCAUAAUAUAGAUUCCCAUAUGCUACAUGAAGAUUCUCAUAUGCUACAACCAUACAUGUUUGCGUUAUAUUAUAGAUUCCUUUAGCUUGAGCUGUGAAUCCUCCAUGUUGUGUGGCAUGUGCUCAUUGAUGAGAAUGACCAGGAAUUGUCUCUUGGUUACCAGUGGAUGCUCCUUGAUAGGUAGUAGGUGGUCCUUGUUUCCUUCUCCCGUUGAAGUCUGCCGGGUAACUAAUGAGCUAGUAGUAUUUCUCUUUACUUUUUCCUUUCAUCUUCCAAUGUUCACAAAAUAGCCGGAUAACUAAUGAGCUAGUAACAUUUCUCUUUACUUUUUCCUUUCAUCUUGCAAUGUUCACAAAAUGGACUGUAAUUCCUUUUAUUCUUCUGGAGUAAACCUCCAUUUAGUGCUGAACUUUGUGAAGCUGUAAUGCCAUUUCUCUCAGCAAUUGAGUUCAUCCUAGUGUGUGAUGAGGUUCCUGGCGUACUCUUUUCACUUUCAUAUUCAACAAUUAGAGUGUAAGCCUGAUUCAAAGUAGGUUCCACUGAUUUCAUUAGAUUCUACCUUCUAGCUUGUGAAUUGGAAUCGUUCAGUCCACUUAGAAACUGUAAUAUCCUAUGCCACUGAAGAUGAUCUGCAUACUCCUUCAUUAUGUAUAUCAAAUUUUUAUUUUCAGAUAUCGUUUGUACAUUAAAGAAAAGUAAUCAAAUGCAAGUGUAGCUACAACUUUCGUUAAUACGUUUAUUAUAUUUGUAGGAAAAAAAUAUUUUUUUCAUUGAAGAAAAGUAAUCAAAUGCGAGUAUAGCUACAACUUUAUUAACACGUUUAUUAUAUUUGUAGGAAAAAAAUUGGGGAGGAAGAUGAGUCAUGAUGAGUUCUUCAUGGAGACUCACAUCCGAAAGAAGAAAGCACUGACAGAUCCAACUAGAUGGGUCGA